Molecule: ribosomal RNA, 498 nt
Filed under: uncultured bacterium
Lineage: Bacteria
Description: partial 16S ribosomal RNA
Rfam family: Bacterial small subunit ribosomal RNA
Source: RNAcentral
GACGAACGCUGGCGGCGUGCCUAAUACACGCAAGUCGAACGAGAGCGACCGGUGCUUGCACUGGUCAAUCUAGUGGCGAACGGGUGAGUAACACGUGGGUAACCUGCCCAUCAGAGGGGGAUAACAUCCGGAAACGGAUGCUAAAACCGCAUAGGUCUUCGAACCGCAUGGUUUGAAGAGGAAAAGAGGCGCAAGCUUCUGCUGAUGGAUGGACCCGCGGUGCAUUAGCUAGUUGGUGAGGUAACGACUCACCAAGGCCGUGAUGCAUAGCCGACCUGAGAGGGUGAUCGGCCACAUUGGGACUGAGACACGGCCCAAACUCCUACGGGAGGCAGCAGUAGGGAAUCUUCCGCAAUGGACGCAAGUCUGACGGAGCAACGCCGCGUGAGUGAAGAAGGUUUUCGGAUCGUAAAACUCUGUUGUUAGAGAAGAACAAGUGCUAGAGUAACUGUUAGCGCCUUGACGGUAUCUAACCAGAAAGCCACGGCUAACUACGUG